GACGAACGCUGGCGGCGUGCUUAACACAUGCAAGUCGAACGGAAAGGCCCUGCUUUUGUGGGGUGCUCGAGUGGCGAACGGGUGAGUAACACGUGAGUAACCUGCCCUUGACUUUGGGAUAACUUCAGGUAACUGGGGCUAAUACCGGAUAGGAUCUCCUGCUGCAUGGUGGGGGUUGGAAAGUUUCGGCGGUUGGGGAUGGACUCGCGGCUUAUCAGCUUGUUGGUGGGGUAGUGGCUUACCCAGGCUUUGACGGGUAGCCGGCCUGAGAGGGUGACCGGCCACAUUGGAACUGAGAUACGGCCCAGUCUCCUACGGGAGGCAGCAGUGGCGAAUAUUGCACAAUGGGCGGAAGCCUGAUGCAGCAACGCCGCGUGCGGGAUGACGGACUUCGGGUUGUCAACCGCUUUCGCCUGUGACGAAGCGUGAGUGACGGUAAUGGGUAAAGAAGCACCGGCUAACUACGUG
This 468-nucleotide ribosomal RNA is filed under the name uncultured bacterium. RNAcentral's name for it is "partial 16S ribosomal RNA". It matches the Rfam family "Bacterial small subunit ribosomal RNA", at positions 28 to 507 of the family's 1533-position model. The record is from RNAcentral.